AACGCUGGCGGCGUGCCUAAUACAUGCAAGUCGAACGGUCUUUUCUAUGGAAGCUUGCUUCCGCUGAGAAGAUAGUGGCGAACGGGUGAGUAACACGUGGGUAACCUGCCCAUAAGAGGGGGAUAACAUCCGGAAACGGGUGCUAAUACCGCAUAGUUUUCUUGAUCGCAUGAUUGAGAAAGGAAAGACGGCCUUUGUGCUGUCGCUUAUGGAUGGACCCGCGGCGUAUUAGUUAGUUGGUGAGGUAACGGCUCACCAAGACGAUGAUACGUAGCCGACCUGAGAGGGUGAUCGGCCACAUUGGGACUGAGACACGGCCCAAACUCCUACGGGAGGCAGCAGUAGGGAAUCUUCCGCAAUGGACGAAAGUCUGACGGAGCAACGCCGCGUGAGUGAAGAAGGUUUUCGGAUCGUAAAACUCUGUUGUCAGAGAAGAACAAGUUGGAGAGUAACUGCUCCAGCCUUGACGGUAUCUGACCAGAAAGCCACGGCUAACUACGUG
This 502-nucleotide ribosomal RNA is filed under the name uncultured bacterium. RNAcentral describes it as "bacterial SSU rRNA". It matches the Rfam family "Bacterial small subunit ribosomal RNA", at positions 32 to 507 of the family's 1533-position model. The record is from RNAcentral.